CAUUUUUGGUUGUAACAAAAUGUGGGAAAUUUCAAGGGGUAUGAAUACUUUUUCAAGGCACUGUAUGUAAGGUAUACUAGCCACGGACUAUCACCGGGGCUUUUGUUGCCUAACAGUGAGUGAGUUGCUUGUGUACUCUUCCAAAAUCAGAAGAUCUGAGGGAAUCCAUAGGGGGGCAUAGUAAGGUGGGCGCCACGUGUUGGGUGUACAGGGGUAGUUGGCAUCAUUAGGUUUGUUUUGGAAUAAUUUUGGCCAGAUUAUGAUGUCAUUGGAGAGGGAGGAGACUCUGGUUGCUGAUGGGUUAUGAUUGGCUGUAUGUACAUUGUGUUGAGUUGUCACCCAAAGGAAGGUAGCUCUGUGAGGCCCCCAAAAUAUUGGCGGUGUUCUGAAUAACGCCUCCAAAUUCAUUUUUUGGGGGGGGUGUGCUGGUGACGUCCCCCUUUGUUUCCCCUCCAUACACGAGGGGCAUUCCAGGGACUGACUUUUCAAUAGGCUUUUGUAGCACCAAAAAUAUUUCGGAACGCCUUCCGAAAACUUGGACUUCCUGUGUGUCCUCCUCUGUAUAGAGAGACAGAAAUGUGUGUCGCGUUCUCUAACACUCCAAUUGGAAGGAUGUCUCUCUCUCUGUCAUCCUAUGAGAUAGAAAUGAGGGCGUGUCCUUGUCUGAUGGGGCCCCUGCAGUCAACCACUUGGCAAGGAUUUUAUCAUGUGUAUGACACUACAGGUCUUGGGUUAGGCUUCACUUACAUGUUCAGACUCCUCUGUAAAUCUGUUUGUCUUGUUUUUAUAGCUAUGGAUAAUUUAAUUUUUUCAAUUUAAGCUUUUAAGUUAUUUUUUGUUGCACAGUGACUGGGCAAUACUUCAUAUCACAAGUGACUUAGAUGGUGUUUUCAUACAGCUAUGGAAAUCGUCGUUUGUUUGGUGUUGUUAUGGAAAGGUGCUGCAAGGGUGCAGCUCUCAGGCCUGGUCAGUCCUUCCUGUUUUGAUGUUGUAGUGAUUGGAAGGUACUACAAUGGGGACAGAUCUCAGGCUCGAUCCGUCAUUUCUGUUUGGUGUUGGUUGUAGUGAUUAGAAGGUACUCCAAUGGGGGCAGAUCUCAGGCCUGGUCAGUCCUUCCUGUUUUGAUGUUGUAGUGAUUGGAAGGUACUACAAUGGGGACAGAUCUCAGGCUCGGUCCGUCAUUUCUGUUUGGUGUUGGUUGUAGUGAUUAGAAGGUACUCCAAUGGGGGCAGAUCUCAGGCCUGGUCAGUCCUUCCUGUUUUGGUGUUGUAGUGAUUAGAAGGUACUCCAAUGGGGACAGAUCUCAGGCUCGAUCCGUCAUUUCUGUUUGGUGUUGGUUGUAGUGAUUAGAAGGUACUCCAAUGGGGGCAGAUCUCAGGCCUGGUCAGUCCUUCCUGUUUUGGUGUUGUAGUGAUUGGAAGGUACUACAACAGGGACAGAUCUCAGGCCUGGUCCAUUAUUUCUGUUUUGUGGUAGGCUGUAGUGAUUGGAUGGUACUACAAUGGGGCAGAUCUCAGGCCUGGUCAGUCCUUCCUGUUUUGUGGUAGGCUGUAGUGAUUGGAUGGUACUGCAAUGGGGCAGAUUUCAGGCCUGGUCAGUCAUUUCUGUUUUGUGUGAAUUGUAGUGAUUAGAAGGUACACCAAUAGGGGCAGAUCUCAGGCCUAGUCAGUGUUUCCUGUUUUGGUGUUGUAGUGAUUAGAAGGUACUACAAUGGGGCA
Molecule: long non-coding RNA, 1718 nt
Organism: Rana temporaria (common frog)
Lineage: Eukaryota; Metazoa; Chordata; Amphibia; Anura; Ranidae
Exons: 2
Source: RefSeq, a predicted model, not a curated record